RNAcentral lists this ribosomal RNA (497 nucleotides) under uncultured bacterium. Its description in RNAcentral is "partial 16S ribosomal RNA". It matches the Rfam family "Bacterial small subunit ribosomal RNA", at positions 28 to 507 of the family's 1533-position model. The record is from RNAcentral.
GAUGAACGCUGGCGGCGUGCCUAAUACAUGCAAGUCGAGCGAACAGAUGAGGAGCUUGCUCCUCUGACGUUAGCGGCGGACGGGUGAGUAACACGUGGAUAACCUACCUAUAAGACUGGGAUAACUUCGGGAAACCGGAGCUAAUACCGGAUAAUAUAUUGAACCGCAUGGUUCAAUAGUGAAAGACGGUUUUGCUGUCACUUAUAGAUGGAUCCGCGCCGCAUUAGCUAGUUGGUAAGGUAACGGCUUACCAAGGCAACGAUGCGUAGCCGACCUGAGAGGAUGAGCGGCCACACUGGAACUGAGACACGACCAAGACCACUCCGGGAGGCAGCAGGGGGAAAUCUUCGACAAGGGGCGAAAGCCGGACGGAGCAACGCCGCGUGGGUGAAGAAGGUCUUCGGAUUGUAAAACUCUUUUGUUGGGAAAGAAAAAAAGUAAAAGUAUCACCCCCUGUUUUGACGUUACCUAAAGAAAAAGCCCCGGCUAACUUCGUG